Molecule: long non-coding RNA, 356 nt
Filed under: Androctonus crassicauda
Lineage: Eukaryota; Metazoa; Arthropoda; Arachnida; Scorpiones; Buthidae
Source: RNAcentral
GCCAGACUUAUUGGCUCUCGUGGGUUCCCAAGCGUAUGGAACGUGAAGGGGGUUAGAGGUCCUUGUGCUCCAGGAUUGUUUGCGUGUGUGAGGGCGCGUGGGAGACCUAUAGCGUUGGGACCGAUGGUGGAUGGGACGUCUUCGCCUCUCUACUACCUAGAGGGGGCUAUGGCUGAUUGGGCCCUGAGAAUUGUUGAGGAUUACCGGUGUGCCGUGGGAUCGUCUUUGGAGUUCGUUGGUCGAUUGCUUGAAGUUGGGCCUCUCCCGGACGAGAAUUGCACAGUCGUCGACUUUGGUGCCCUCUGUCCUUCUAUUGAGCGGGCGCCCGCUGCAGUCAUGUUGUGUCGGUUCUUCUU